GCAUAUAGAGGUUCCCAGGCUAGGGGUCUAAUCGGAGCUGUAGCUGCCAGCCUAUACCACAGCCACAGCAACACAAGAUCUGAGCCACAUCUGUGACUACACCACAGCUCACAGCAACACUGUAUCCUAAACCCAGUGAGCAAGGCCAGGGAUCGAACCUGCGUCCUCAUGGAUACUAGUCAGAUUUGUUUCCACUGAGCCACAAUGGGAACUCUGCCUCUGGUAUUUUUCAAGAUGACCUUCAAUAUUACCAAGUCAAAGGCCAAUACGUUCUUGUCAUGUUCACCCUCAGUGCUAUAUUUGCCAUCUCCCUUCACUUAAAACACCCUCCCUCCUUUUAUUUCCGCUAAAGUCUUUAGUUCCAUCUCCACCAUGCUGUCCUCUUUCUCAUCUCAUUCCUUAAAUGCUAGAAUUCCCUAGGGCUUGGUCAGCAGCUUGUAGCUUUUUGCCCUCUUUUUGCCCUCCCCAGGCUACGCCAUUCACGCAAAUGCAUUUAUCCAACACACAUCUGCUGGCCAUUCUGAAACUUCCACUCUUUGCUCUGGUCUAAAGUGUUUCCAAGUUUAGGGACAUAAAUGUAUUUCAUGUACAGUAGUAAGGGAAAUAAUAGUCCUUUUAAAGAACACAUUUAAUAGAUUUUGCACUAUAGUAUAUUUUAUGCUUCAAAUAGAAGUUGGACUAGUACAUAUAGGAUUGUUCUCAUUAUAGCCAACUGGGAAUAAUAUACUCAGAUACAAUCACAUAACAAAAACUCAAAGAUGUGUAUUUUCACAUUUGAUUUUAUUGCUGCUUAUGUAGUAGAUUUUACAUUUCAAUAAAACUGUAAAGUAAAACUGUAAGUAAAAGCAAAAGAAAUAAAAUACAAUAAAAAUACUCCAAACCAUAAGCAAAUGUUUGCAAUAUCAUUUGAAAAGAGUCAUUGUGACAAGUGCUGUGAAUAGCUGAUUAUUUCACUGAUCCCAUAAUCUCACAUAAGGGAUAAUCUGACAUUUUAAAUUACCUACUGAAAUUUUAAAAUGAUAAUAGAAAAUAUAACUUUAAGUUUUGUUGCUGUUGCUCUCGUGGAUGUCAAAAAUCAUCAGAAAAUUCAAAUAAUAAUGUACAGACACUCACUUGACAAACGGUUAAAAGAAAACAAAGGAAGACCUGACAUGGAGAUGGGACAAUCAGAGAAUGAACGAAGACGACGAUAGAUUCCCCCUUGGUGUAAUUUGACUUCACAUUGCUCCUUCUUUGAUAUGGGUGUGGCUUUCCUUUUUGGGGGCUUGUGCCAUUCACAGAGUCCUAGAUGUGAGUCAGUACACUAGUUCAAAACUGGGCUCUGGCACGUAGACUUCGUGUGAAUCCCGGUCAGUCAUUUUUUUCUCUCUGAGCCUCAUCUUGUCCAUCUGUGAAGAAGUAACCACAACGAGAUCGUUGUGGGCCUUUGCAUGUGGCAGCAGUAGCCUUUUGUCAAGCACAAUACUCUCAAUAUCCAUUGAAUUGUUUGCAAUAAUAACUGAGACUUCAGACUUUAAAACAUUCUUAAUGGAAAGGAAAUAGAGACAAACACUGGAUUUUAUUAUUUACUUUUCCAUGCACCAAAUGGCUGAUCCUGAGUAAGUCACUACAACUCUCUGAAUCUGAGUUUCCUCUGCCUUAAAAUGAAAAGUACAGAUGAGAUGAAUUUUCCACUCUGAUUCUAAAAUCCUAAAACCACUUAGGCGAGAUACUUUCUAAGACAUCACUGUGGUCUUUUUAUUUACUGAGCUUCUUCAUAUAUAACUAAUUUAAAAAAUGUUUUGGGAAACAUUUGGAAGUCAAUAUUAAACUUAACAGACUAUUUUGAAAUCUUAAAAUGAAAACUAAAAGAUAGCAUGAUUUUUCUUUUGCUUUUCACAAGUUUCUUUUGGAAGUAAGUGUGUAAGUAAUGAAUAAAACAUCUAACUGCAUAUGUGUGCAGAUGCAAAUAAAAUUAGGCAUUUCGUAGCGGAUUGGAGCAAGAAUUCCUAUUCUAAAUCCCUCUCUUCACUUAUGCUACUGCUCAGAAAAAGCAGCCAGAGAGAGGCGUUUCGCAUCCACAGCCAGUCAAAAGCGACUAUGCCUUCUGUGGGUGGGAAGGCAGAAAUGACAUCUUUCAAAGUGGGAAACUUUACAACCAGGUAUUUGAGAUCUGAGACAAUCUGGGGAGGUCUCUUAAGAAUUGACCAAACUCUCAGAACCAUCCUUGAGGCAUCUGGGGAUUACCAGGAAAAUCCAGAGUGCUUCUAGCUGCAGAAAACAUUUUUUCCUACCAAGAAGAAUGACUCACCUAUUGUCACCUUGGGAGAUAGCACAGAACAACCAGAGCAAGUUGGGAAGUUUCCCAGGCCCUCACUACCCAGAAUGAGAUGAGAUGACAGAGUUAAUAUAAAUCAAAACAUAGUAUCUUUCCUUGCAACUGAUAAAUUCUAAGUAAUUUGUGUAGUCUGUGGGAAUCUAGGUUUGUGUCCCUGACAUCUACGCAUUUCUGGUGAACCUUAAUAUUAAUUGAGGGUUAAAUUCAAUGUAUUUAAAAUAUUUUAAAAUAAUUCAAAAAUAAAUCCCCAUCAUAUUUAUGGUUGUAAAUUUUAAAAAAUCUGGGACCAUAUGAUGUUGAAAGCAGCAGUUAAGAUAAAAUAGGCACCUAUAUACCUUUCAACAAUUCUAUAGGAGAAAUGUGUUAAAUCGUUUUAUUUUAUUAUUAUUAUUUUAAAUAAGGAAACAGACCUAAAACAGAGAAAAAGAAUUAGUGAUGGGGAGGAGGAAACCCAACAUCUAGUAUCUAGUUUUUUGUAGUUCGUGAGUUAUUGGCUAAUACCGUUGCACAGCAAAUUCGCUAAAGCUGGUGCCCACCAUAGCCUGUGCUUCUCAUUUUAAAACAAUCAUUUAUGGGUGUUAGAGGAUGCCUAGGAAAGCAGAAGGGUUCUGUGUCAAUCAAAGCUAAUCACUGGUACAGGCAGAGGGCUUUUGUUGGCCUCCAUGCUCUAAGCCGUGCUUCCACAUCUGUGUUUGAAGAGAUUAGAGAGGUGCUUCAUACAAGAACUGUAUUAGUGAAAGCUGAUCGACAGUAUUUGGAAUAAAUCAUGAAAAAGUUGAGUGCCAGAAGGGAAAGCAUGGAAAGUGGGAGACUGAAACUGACGAGGGCGAAAUCCACCCCCUCUCCCCCCUCCGCGCCGCCCUGCUCCAGCCCCUGCACAUUUGUAUUUCGGUUGUAUUUCGGUUUUGCCCGCUGGAGAGCAUUACUAGGUGCCCUGCUCACCACUUCCUAGCAAACACACAGCCAGCCGCUCAGCCAAGAAGCCCGACGCCAGGGUUUUCAGGGAAACGCUUGCCACACUUGGGUGAAGGGCUCCAGUUUUAUUGGAGGUGCUUCAUGGAAAACAGAUUAGCCCAAGUGGGUAAGUGGGAUUUGAGGACCUGGGAUGGCAAAGAAUGAAAAGUGAAAAAGAUCCCAGCAAAAAUGAACAUCCGUGCCCCCUCCUCGUUGAUGGCAGUGUUCUCUCUGCAUGAAGGCCAUACACUGGCAAAUAAAUUAUGAGUGACAAGUAUUUGAACCAAUAAAGAGGGCACUAUAUUUUAUAUGCAGUAAAUUUAAUUCCAGAUUGUGUUUCACCUCAGCAGGGUGACAUGUUUAUUGCCAGUGAAAGAUGGAAGCAGAGGGAGUUAGAGGCAAGCGUCAGCAGUUCUAGUGGGCACCCGCAAAAUGAAGAUUUGACAGACCGGUGGCUGAGCCCUUGAAAUGAAAUGCCAGAUCAAAUUUUACCCCAAAGGGGUCAGAUGUACUGUCGUGCCCCCAAACUCGCAAUACCAGCUGAAUAAAUGAGCCUGGUUCAGCAGAGAACAGGAGGCCAAGCGUGUGCUCAGUGGGUUCCUGCUCAUAGGCUUGUCAGAUCGGCCAAGUGCAAGGAGGACCAGAGGGAGGUGUGUCUGAGGAAGGAGACGCUAGGAGGAUGUGAAGUGCUGCCGCCUCUGUGGGGCUCUAAGUGUCGUUUUAAAAAUCUAUUAAACAGAUCGAAAAGUAGAAGUGAGUCUAAAUUGAUCUGCCCGUCUCUCAAUUUCAUCCUACAAGCGCUCAGCUCAGGUGUUCAAUUUAUUGAACCAUAACCCCUUUUUAAACAAUCAACAUCAACACGCAAUAAAUAUGCUCAGCAAGGGCAAUAUUUACAUGCGCGACUCAUUGUUUUCCAAGAUUUAUUUAUGGCGAAACUGACUGGCAAUUACCUCGGACUUCCUUUGGCAGACGGUGGCACAGUGGCAUGUGGGCGUCGUUCUGGUUAUUGCAAAAAUUAAGCACAUUGAAAGAGGUGAGCCCAGCUUGUCCCUAAGAAAUGGGCAUCAUACUCUAAUUGCAGAGGUGGGGAAGAAUUUUUGUUAUAAUGUGCAUAUGGCUUCUUCCUCUCAGAGAAAAAGAAAGAGGGAUGAGUGAGGGAGAGAGAGAGAGCAAGAGAAUGAAAGUUAAAAAAGGAAGGAAGGAUGGAAGGAAGGAAGGGAGGGAGGUGGGGAGGGAGGAGGAAAGGGAGGGAAAAGGAAAAGUUGCUGGUCUCAGGAAAGCAUGUCCUCCGAAAAGAGUAUAUGCAAAAAUUCCUAUAAUGAUGUUGAUAAUUCAUGUAUAAUGAAAGCCAGUCUUUGCUCUCUGCACUUAGGAAAUAGGUUCUGUUAUCCAAUAUAUAGAUUGGGCUAGCCACACACUUUGGAACUCAUUUGUGUAGACACAGUGUCAUCAACUCUUGAAUCAAUCAAAAGGGUUAACAUUUUAAUCAGUUCCUUUCACUGACCCUGCCCUGCAGGACUAUUGGUAGAAACUUCCAUGUAUUUAACUUCACACAAAUGUAUUUUAAGAAUGUUUCUCAUAAUUCAAUGAAAUUGAGAUGGAAAAUGAUGUAAAAUUUCUGGACCCUGUAAAGUUACUUGGUGCAACUUUUCUCAACUUUAUACAUCUUUUCCAUUCACUGAUGUUACAGAGAAGAUAUAUUCUGGUGCCUGGAUGUGAGAUGAAGGAUCUACAUAAUGUUACUAGCACUCCAUAAUUGAUAUUUGGAGCUUUAUAGGGCCUACUUCUUUCCUGUAAGAAGGAACUCACAUUUGGUGAAUAGAGCUCUGGAGCAGAAGGAACAGAACCUGGCAUUCUCCUGGUGACACCUGGAGAGAUAUAAGAACACCUGUGAUGUAAAUAAGAACCUACCAUAAAUAGUGAUUGUCUCUGUUACUCACUUACUCCUUACCGGUGUUGUGAGGGUGACUGCUGGUUGCAAUGUGUGCAAAUUUUUUGUUAAGAUCUUAGAUAAGAGUUGCUGUGUGAAAGACUUUGUCAUACACAGAUGAAAGGCUUAGCAGUCACUGUGGCUGAGACCACGGUCCCGUACUGUUUCCUGAUCAACCAUUUAACUCCAGUCAUUCAUUCCCAUUUGUUACCUUCUCCCACGAAACAGAGAAUUGAAAGGAUUUUAAGCUCACAUCCUCUGUGGAGCUCCACGUGUUCCAGAGGCCCCUCUUUCAUUACAUCAGCUACACCGCCUCCUCUCAGGUUCCAUAUGCCCUGACCUUCCCUAUCUUUAUGUUCCCUGCUGUUCCCUCCAUUUCUCUCACCAGCCUCCUUUGUCUGCUCUUUUCAGACCUCUCCUGUGAGCUGCUCUUGGAACAGAGUCUCAUUUGUCUGGCAUAUGCCCUUCCUCUUGGCCAAAGAGCUCCUGAAGGCUCCACAGGAUUUCAAAGCCAUAUAGCAAGAGUUCCUGCCAAAUUAAUCUAUUCAGUUUGUUUCUUUUUUGGCAGAUCGUUAUUGGUCUUAUUUACAAUUCCUUAUAAGUUGUUGAGGUAAAAAAAAUCGUAUAAUGAGGUAGGAGGUUUAGUAGGUGCCAUAUAUUAAAUAUAUUAAUAUUUAAAAAUAAAAUAUUAAUAAUGUUAGAAGAGAAAAAAAUAUUUAACUUGACAAUGGUCAAAUGCAUUAUCAUCACUUAAUGUACAAGACUUCCAACACAUUUUAAGGAUAGAAUAAACCCAUUUAACAUCAUGUACACACGAUAAAUCUUUUACUCCUAUCUCUCUGUGUUUCUUUUCUGUUUCAUGCUUCCCAGAAGCUGUUUCCUUUGGGUCUCCCCUAUAAAAUUAAGUUUAAACUCCUUAUGUUUAAAGCUCUGGCCCUUCCAUCCCCACCAGCCUGACAUUGGGUGGAGGAUAUUAUCAGAUAUUCAGUUUCCUCCUGAAUAUUUGCCUUGCCAAGCUUUUUCAAAGAUAGUAAUAGGCACUUACAGUACUGACCACCAUGGCUAGCACAUGGUAGUUGCUCAAUAAAUGGUAUCCUGUUACUUAUUAUAAAAAAUGGCCCCUCUGCUUCUACC
Molecule: long non-coding RNA, 6335 nt
Filed under: Sus scrofa (pig)
Lineage: Eukaryota; Metazoa; Chordata; Mammalia; Artiodactyla; Suidae
Description: lncRNA (ENSSSCG00000053196.1)
Source: RNAcentral